AGAAUGAACGCUGGCGGCGUGGUUAAGACAUGCAAGUCGAACGGGAUUAACGGUGUAGCAAUACAUCGUUGAUCCAGUGGCGAACGGGUGCGUAACACGUGAACAAUCUACCUCCAAGUGGGGAAUAGCUCGCCGAAAGGCGAAUUAAUACCCCAUACAGUUGCCGAUCGCAUGAUCGGCAUACCAAAGUCAGGGACCGCAAGGCCUGACGCUAGGAGAGGAGUUCGCGGCCUAUCAGCUAGUUGGCGAGGUAACGGCUCACCAAGGCGACGACGGGUA
This 279-nucleotide ribosomal RNA is filed under the name uncultured bacterium. Its description in RNAcentral is "partial small subunit ribosomal RNA". It matches the Rfam family "Bacterial small subunit ribosomal RNA", at positions 26 to 285 of the family's 1533-position model. The record is from RNAcentral.